CGCGUAGGCGGUCGAGUAAGUCGGACGUGAAAGCCCCUGGCUCAACUGGGGGAGGCCGUUCGAUACUGCUCGGCUUGAGGGUGAGAGGGGGAAGCGGAAUUCCCGGUGUAGCGGUGGAAUGCGUAGAGAUCGGGAGGAACAUCAAUGGCGAAGGCGGCUUCCUGGCUCACUCCUGACGCUGAUAGCGCGAAAGCGUGGGGAGCAAACGGGAUUAGAUACCCCGGUAGUCCACGCCCUAAACGAUGAGAGCUAGGUGUUGGUGGGAUUUCCCAUCCGUGCCGAAGCAAACGCGUUAAGCUCUCCGCCUGGGGACUACGAACGCAAGUUUAAA
RNAcentral lists this ribosomal RNA (331 nucleotides) under uncultured bacterium. Its description in RNAcentral is "bacterial SSU rRNA". It matches the Rfam family "Bacterial small subunit ribosomal RNA", at positions 568 to 898 of the family's 1533-position model. The record is from RNAcentral.